GAAUUCGCCCUUCCUACGGGAGGCAGCAGUGGGGAAUAUUGCGCAAUGGACGAAAGUCUGACGCAGCGACGCCGCGUGUGGGAUGACGGCCUUCGGGUUGUAAACCUCUUUCACUACCGACGAAGUUCACACGUUGUGUGGGUGACGGUAGGUGGGGAAGAAGCACCGGCCAACUACGUGCCAGCAGCCGCGGUAAUAAGGGCGAAUUCGGA
RNAcentral lists this ribosomal RNA (212 nucleotides) under uncultured bacterium. RNAcentral describes it as "partial 16S ribosomal RNA". It matches the Rfam family "Bacterial small subunit ribosomal RNA", at positions 326 to 540 of the family's 1533-position model. The record is from RNAcentral.